RNAcentral lists this unclassified non-coding RNA (1484 nucleotides) under Hevea brasiliensis (rubber tree). Lineage: Eukaryota; Viridiplantae; Streptophyta; Magnoliopsida; Malpighiales; Euphorbiaceae. The record is from RNAcentral.
UCUCUGUUUCCCUUCCCCGCUUUCACAUGUUACCCCUUAGCGUGGAAGAUUCCCACCAAAAGUACACAGCCAAGUUGCCCAUGGUUGAGUCUACUUGCACAACACAUCUUUUUUCCUCAUAUAAGGAGAGAUGCUUAUAAUUAUUCAUCUAAUUUAAUGACAUUUGCAAGAAAAGAAAAUAAAAAUUGAUUGCUUUUUCUUUUUUUCUUAUCCCUCUCUCUACCAAGGCAAAUUCAUUAUUUUUUUGGACUACAUUUAUAUCAAUAUAACCCAAAACAAAAAGAGGGAAAUAUAUAUAUAUUUUAAAAACCAAAAUUGAAACCAAAAUCACCAAGAUCUGUACACACCACUCCUGGCAAGGGUGUCCUUUGACAAUGCAACUUUCAGACAAACUAAUCUUCUCUACACCGUCUGUAAGUAAAUACUAAAAUUUUUAAAAGAGAAACCAUCCAGAAUAUCCAAACCCUCCAGUGCUUUGGCUUAGCUCCCUCUCCUCAACCACAAUUGUCAGACAAGACAUGCCAAGAUUUUGGAAGGUCUAAAGAAUGUGUGCUUUACCAUUGUGCAUAUAUUCAGAUUUACAAACAAUUCCCAUGCCUAUGCUCGAUGGCUCUGUUGACCAUCUGUCUUCGAAUCUGGAUUGUCUUUCCUGUCAGUAUCUGAAUUCUCCUUUAGAGACUUGGUCUCAGUGACCCCAGCCUGGCUCCUUCUGUGUCUUCGAUCCUCUCUCGGUAUAGGAUAUUCCUCUGAUUCAAGCAUGCGAACUACUUGACUCAUCUUUGGUCUUUUUUCAGAAUCUGGAUCAACGCAUCUUAAAGCAGUUAGAAGAGCUCGUUUAAGAGCACUUGUUGAAGGCCUUGUCUCAAUCAUUGGGUCUACAACCUCUUCUGAACGCCUUCUUGCAACCAUCAUCUUCAACCACUCCACCAGAUUUACCUCAUUCUCAGGACGACUGUAAUCCACUGGAUCUCUUCCAGUAAUUGCUUCCAAGAGCACAACUCCAAAGCUAUAAACGUCACUCUUCUCAGUUAACAGCUGAGUCAUGUAAUAUUCAGGAUCCAAAUAACCCUAAACAAAUAUAAAAAUUUUGUCAGUCCUGAUAUACUCUCAAAUGUUAUCUUUAAUUUUUAAAAUCAAUCCACCUCAUGCAUAUCUUGGCCCAUCCAACGCAACAAAACCUUGAAGAAUUUACCAACGAAUUGGUUAUACGUUUGUGUCAAGCAGAUGCUUUCUUUCCCGGAAAACAAAAUCUUAUUUCUUGAUUGGUGAACAAUUUCGCCAUAAAUUAUAACAGCAAGCAUUAUGGAGCACAUUUUUAUGCUUUAUUUACUUUUAAGUUCCCAUUGUUAAAAGAAACAAUUAUGGUACAUUUCAAGCAAUGGGAUAUGGAUGUACUGACCACUGUCCCUUUAACUUGAGUGGUAACAUGACCCUUUUCUGUGUCACCCAUAAGCUUGGAGAGGCCAAAAUCAGCAACUUUCGCA